GAGCCUCCCGUGAUAAAUACAAUUGUCAUAAUCACUCCAAGUGUAACCAUGCCUAAACAUAAAUGCAGCAACCACUAUUACCUCAGAGAUUGCUUCAAACCAUACAAUGAUUUUCUAAACAAGUAAAUAUAAUCCUCUUUAUCCUAAACAACAAAUUCCUCUAGCUGCUACAUGUAAAUCUAUUUCUCAAGCUCACCCAUACAAGAAAGAUGCUUGACAU
Molecule: long non-coding RNA, 220 nt
Filed under: Elaeis guineensis (African oil palm)
Lineage: Eukaryota; Viridiplantae; Streptophyta; Magnoliopsida; Arecales; Arecaceae
Description: long non-coding RNA (EGUI_LNC079093)
Source: RNAcentral